Molecule: long non-coding RNA, 700 nt
Filed under: Felis catus (domestic cat)
Lineage: Eukaryota; Metazoa; Chordata; Mammalia; Carnivora; Felidae
Description: lncRNA (ENSFCAG00000049884.1)
Source: RNAcentral
AUGAAUGUUUUGGUUGGUUUGUGUGUUUCACCUAGAUUACUGGGCUGUGAUAGAAGCUUUAGACAGAUGGCUGAGGACACCACAGAAGAGAAUGGAAUCUUUCUGAAGGAGGGACCCAUAACCUUUCACCAGGGCAAGAAGUUUCUGCAGAACACGUGCUGGCUUAUUCAGGAAGAUCCUGCUGGGCCUGUUUGGGUGUCCUGGAGGGCAGUGCUUUGGGCCUGGGUCUUCAACUUGCCUUUGGGAUUUUGGUCAUCAGAAGUGAUCCUCAAUUUAAUGCACUUCAAUGGCUGGGAGACCAGGUUCAGUGAAGAAUAUCAUUGCUUUUCAGCUCGUAUCAAUUUUCAUGGGGAGGAAUGAGAGUGUCAGUGUUGGGGGAGGUGUAGAGGAUGAAAAUGUGAGUCCAAGAGAGGAGCCAGUAUAUAUGUCAGUUUGACUCUAAGAAGAGAAUUUGAUCCCAUCAGUAAAGGAAACAGCAUCAAUCUCUUGCCCAUUGAUUAUUAUAUUUGGAAAUUGGAAUGAAAUAGGGGUUGGGGAGGAAGGCUCAGAAGACCCCUUGUGGCUUAGUACUGAUGGGAUAAUAGAUUUGUAGUACAUUUAAAUGUAUUCCUGAAAUAGCCUGUGUUUAAAUAUCCACUGAGUACCUACACUGUAUCAGCUAUCCUUGGGAUGCUAAGAGCUUAAUUCAGAGGCCUGCAAU